Molecule: long non-coding RNA, 613 nt
Filed under: Solanum tuberosum (potato)
Lineage: Eukaryota; Viridiplantae; Streptophyta; Magnoliopsida; Solanales; Solanaceae
Description: long non-coding RNA (STUB_LNC005499)
Source: RNAcentral
AUAUCAUAAGGACAAGUUGAUUAUUUCACUUUCAUUAUUUGAAGUUAGUGGAUGUCUUUUGUCUUGGUUAAUUCAAGUUGUUGGAUGAUAACUUCAUUUGUAUUAUUUUAGUUUAUUAUUACUUGUUCCAUGUCAUUUUUCCCUUAGCUAAUUUAUUUUUCUUUCUAUCUUUAUGGCGUCGACCGAGUCUUUUGUGGAUUUCUUCGCCUCAUUUUCCCUUUUCGAGAUGAGCCAUGGAGGCUCAAAUUUCUUCAUAGAGUCGGCCUUGGUUUUAUUUAACGUCAAGUAGCUGGUGAACGGGUCCUCUAAAGCUAGACAAGGCUAAAAAUUGGCGUACAAGUGUUUGGAGCGGAUAUACGUGAUUGUAUACACUAGUAUACACCUAGUGUAUACGGAAUUGGGCCAAAACCCCAUCUUCCCUUGAAUUGUAUUUUGUUAUUAUUAGGCCUAAGCCCUUUUAUUUCCAUUAUCAUAUGUGUUAGUUAUUAGGACAGGUAGUAAAUGCAAUGAGUGGGUCUAAAGCCCAACGGAAAAAUUAGAUUAUCUUAGGACAGGUGCAAAUGGGCCUAUGGCCCAAAGCUGAAUUUAGGCCCAAGUACUGGUCCAGGCGGAC